This 305-nucleotide ribosomal RNA is filed under the name uncultured bacterium. RNAcentral describes it as "bacterial SSU rRNA". It matches the Rfam family "Bacterial small subunit ribosomal RNA", at positions 335 to 658 of the family's 1533-position model. The record is from RNAcentral.
UACCUACGGGGGGCAGCAGUGGGGAAUAUUGCACAAUGGGGGAAACCCUGAUGCAGCGACGCCGCGUGAGCGAUGAAGUAUUUCGGUAUGUAAAGCUCUAUCAGUAGGGAAGAAAAUGACGGUACCUGACUAAGAAGCCCCGGCUAACUACGUGCCAGCAGCCGCGGUAAUACGUAGGGGGCAAGCGUUAUCCGGAUUUACUGGGUGUAAAGGGCGUGCAGCCGGAGAGACAAGUCAGAUGUGAAAUCCACGGGCUCAACCCGUGAACUGCAUUUGAAACUGUUUCCCUUGAGUGUCGGAGAGGG